RNAcentral lists this transfer RNA (73 nucleotides) under Candidatus Kaiserbacteria bacterium. Its description in RNAcentral is "tRNA-Ala". It matches the Rfam family "tRNA". Rfam says of the family: Transfer RNA (tRNA) molecules are approximately 80 nucleotides in length. Their secondary structure includes four short double-helical elements and three loops (D, anti-codon, and T loops). RNAcentral also lists the same sequence under 1 other name. The record is from RNAcentral. Lineage: Bacteria; Candidatus Kaiseribacteriota.
GGGCCGUUAGCUCAGCUGGUAGAGCGCUUCCAUGGCAUGGAAGAGGUCGCAAGUUCAAGUCUUGUACGGUCCA